Hibiscus syriacus is the source of this 324-nucleotide long non-coding RNA. RefSeq lists it as uncharacterized. Lineage: Eukaryota; Viridiplantae; Streptophyta; Magnoliopsida; Malvales; Malvaceae. The transcript has 2 exons. The record is from RefSeq and is a predicted model, not a curated record.
ACUAGCCUUUCAUGCAGGAAGCUUGAAGGUUCCCCUUUACUAAAAUAUCCGGAUGUCAAUCUCUCGGGAUCCGUUGUUCAAGGACACGACACCAAUGGUCUCAACAGCUCGGCAAAAGUUGACGACAAAGACGAAUACUACAAGCAGCAUCACAAAAUUUUUCAGUCUGAGAAAUCAAAGGGUGGAAAAGGUGCAUACGGUGGUGCAAAUGCCCCCCACCAUCCUAACAAGAAAAACGCAGCUCCACCGCUCCUCAACCCACCUUGCCUUCUGUUACCUGUUGGGUUACAUGUAAUCUUCACCCUUAUCCUAUCAUUUCCAGCU